RNAcentral lists this ribosomal RNA (265 nucleotides) under uncultured bacterium. RNAcentral describes it as "partial 16S ribosomal RNA". It matches the Rfam family "Bacterial small subunit ribosomal RNA", at positions 338 to 619 of the family's 1533-position model. The record is from RNAcentral.
CCUACGGGGGGCAGCAGUGGGGAAUAUUGCACAAUGGGGGAAACCCUGAUGCAGCGACGCCGCGUGAGUGAAGAAGUAUUUCGGUAUAUAAAGCUCUAUCAGCAGGGAAGAAGAAAGACGGUACCUGACUAAGAAGCCCCGCCUAACUACGUGCCAGCAGCCGCGGUAAUACAUAGGGGGCAAGCGUUAUCCGGAUUCACUGGGUGUAAAGGGAGCGUAGACGGCGACGCAAGUCUGGAGUGAAAGUCCGGGCCCCACCCCCGGG